GAUCCUGGCUCAGGAUGAACGCUAGCGGCAGGCUUAACACAUGCAAGUCGUGGGGUAACAGAUGAACAGAUCCUUCGGGUGACGAUCAUGCUGACGACCGGCGCACGGGUGAGUAACGCGUAUGCAACCUGCCCCUGACAGGAGGAUAGCCCUAGGAAACUGGGAUUAAUACUCCAUGUAUUAUCAAGUAGGCAUCUAUUACAUAAUAAAGCUACGGCGGUCAGGGAUGGGCAUGCGUGCCAUUAGUUAGUUGGUGAGGUAACGGCUCACCAAGGCAUCGAUGGCUAGGGGUUCUGAGAGGAUGAUCCCCCACACUGGUACUGAGACACGGACCAGACUCCUACGGGAGGCAGCAGUGAGGAAUAUUGGUCAAUGGGCGCAAGCCUGAACCAGCCAUGCCGCGUGCAGGAUGACUGUUCUAUGAAUUGUAAACUGCUUUUCUGCGGGAAGAAAUGUACCUACGUGUAGGUAUUUGCCGGUACUGCAGGAAUAAGCAUCGGCUAACUCCGUGCCAGCAGCCGCGGUAAUACGGAGGAUGCAAGCGUUAUCCGGAUUCAUUGGGUUUAAAGGGUGCGCAGGCGGUGUAUUAAGUCAGUGGUGAAAUGCUGCGGCUCAACCGUAGACUUGCCAUUGAUACUGGUACACUUGAAUGUAGUUGAGGUAGGCGGAAUGUGUAAUGUAGCGGUGAAAUGCUUAGAUAUUACACAGAACACCGAUUGCGAAGGCAGCUUACUAAACUAUGAUUGACGCUGAGGCCACGAAAGCGUGGGGAGCGAACAGGAUUAGAUACCCUGGUAGUCCACGGCUGUAAACUAUGAUCACUGGUUGUUGGCAAUAUACCGUCAGCGACUGAGCGAAAGCAUUAAGUGAUCCACCCUGGGAAGUACGUCGGCGACGAUGCAACUCGAAGGAAUCGACGGCGCGCCAGCACAAGCAGGAGGAACAUGGUGUUAUAAUUCGAUGAUACGCGAGCAACAUCACCGGGGCUAAAAUGUAGACACAAUAGAGAGACAACAUUCUCCUCCGGCGGGACUCUCAACAAGCUGCAGCAUGGUCGUCAUCACCUUCCCCACGGGAGCGGUCGGAGUAACUCCCAGUGACGAGCGCAACCCUUGUCGUUAGUGGAGAGCAGGUCAAGCUGAGGACUCUGACGAGACGGCCGGUGUAACAGAGAGGAAGGUGGGGAUGACAUCAAAUCAGCACGGCCCUUAUGUCCAGGACUACACACGUGUUACAA
Molecule: ribosomal RNA, 1237 nt
Filed under: uncultured organism
Description: partial 16S ribosomal RNA
Rfam family: Bacterial small subunit ribosomal RNA
Source: RNAcentral